GUUUCACACAGCAUGUUUCCCUGAGACAGGCUUUUAACCCACACAUAAGGACCAGAGGAAGGUGUCCAGCUAGUGAAAUCCCUGCUUAUGAGGAGACAUCAACGCUCCUAGUUGCACACAACUGUGAAUGCACAUAUUUGGUGGGUAAAUAAAAAAAUAUCCAAGACAAAACAUUCUGCAGCCAUCCCAUACUGGUAUCCACAGUCAGCACCUGGGAGAGAAGCCACAUACACAUGUGCCCAAGCCUAGGUGAACACACGCACCCAGAGGAACCCCGGGACUGAAUGAAGCCAGCAGAAACCUCCGGGAAGCCCCUAGGACUGGCACCCCGUGGCACUGAAAGGCACCAGGACAGACGGAAGAGUCAGCCCUUUUAGGAGCUUCUGCGCAUCCCGGUGCCAACAUCCCCGCACCGAAGGGCACCCAGCUAGGGUACCAGAGAUCGGGACAUGCCCCUGGUCCCGGGUGGCUCCGGGGCCAGCCCGCAGCCACCCCUCACCGGCACCCCCAGAGGCAGGCGGGGUCCGUGCCCGGGUCUGGCCCGCGGGCCGGCCCCUCCGGGUGUCGGUGGGUGGCAUUUUUCCCUCAAAAUCCGCGGAGCAGCAGCGGCGCACCCCGGCACCCGAGCGACGAAGAGCGGCGUGGGAGCAAGCCCCGGCCGGGGUGGGCCGGAGCCGCCCGCCGCCGUCAGGGGAAGGGGCGGGCGCCAUCGCUCCGCCCGCCCACCCUCUCUCGCCCCGCUCCUCCUCCGCGCUUCCGCCCCUGGCCCUCAGCGGGGCGGGGGUCUCACCAUCCCGGAGCAGAGGCUGAUAACGGCGGUGAGCCGAGGGCGGGCGUUGACGUGCCCCCGGUAGAAGCAGUGCUUCACAUCGGCGUCGGCCGCCUCGGCGUAGAGGCGCCGUUGGUCUGCGGCGGGCUCUCCCAGGAGGCUGACGGUGAAGAGCGGGGCGAUGAAGGCCGAGCUGGCCGUCAGGUUGAAGAGGAACUGCUGCCCGAAGGCGGACAGCCUGUAGUGUGCCUUCGGGGAGUCGGCGGCAGCCGCCGUCCAGGCGUCGGGGGCAGCACUGGUGCUCCGCCGGCGCCGCCUGAAGUGGACAUCGGUGGGGAAGGGCUCACCGAACUCAUUCACUCGGGUAGGAGUCACGAUCUCGUACUCGCUGAGCUUCUCCAGCAGCUGGGCUGCGAGGGGACAGACGCUGAGUGAAGUGGCCGAGCCCCGCGGCCCCGGGGGGCGGCAGCGCAGCACUCCCCGCGCCCCUCCCCGAGCACCCCCUUACCUUGCCUGGGGUGCAGCUUCUGCCUCCUCGCUGCCGUCCUCCAGCCGUCGAUGAAGAGCGUGCUUGAAGAAGUGGAUCAGCAAUUGAAGAAUCCCGUGUGGCACUUACAGCAGUUGUUUUCUUCUGCAUUUCUCAGAUAAGAGGCAAUUCAAGCAACUUUUGUUCAGGAUUAGUUUUGUGUUGUGCACUUUUCAGGCACCCUGAGGCAAAAGGAAGAUUAUAUCCUUAUCUGAGUUUAUUUUGUUUUGUUGUACAGUUUGAAAGGUCUCUGUAAAAAUUUAAGACAUCCUUUAGAGCUACAUAUAAUUGUGUUGGCUUCUACCCCUCCUUCAAAUCAAAACCCUCAGCCUUGGUUUAAAAGGUUUUAAAACCUUUAAAACCCGUAAGCAAGCCAAAAGAGAAGUUUGGAAGUUCAGUUUGCACUUCCAUAGAAAACGUCAAAGUUCUUUACAUUCUUUGCUCACUUUGGCACAAGGCACAGAAAUGUUGGUAUUUUCUGCAGAAAGUUCUAUAAUAAAAAUCAAAUCAGAAUCCACUUCUGGGCAAAAUGGCACCUCCUGACUCUUCAAAACAACUGGUGGAGUCCUACAAACCUCAGCUAUUAAGAGUCAAUUAUUAAUUUUCUAUGAUGAAUGUAAAAGAGUAAAUAAAGCAUCACCUGCAAAGCUGUGCAUCUUCAACCCUGCUACUGGCUGGCCAGGGUUGCAGGGCUGAGAGGCAGAGCCUCGACAGUGCAGGAAUCUCCAGGAUUGUGGAGACCAAGUCAGCACAUCCUUAGGGCAAGGUGUAAUGGCACAUAACCUCCCUGCAUGGCAUUGUUCCCACGCUUAUAAACCAGGUUUAAUUAAAAUCUUGGAUACUUACUGAGAGAUAACUCACCCGUAUCUCCCUGAGCUGCAGUGCUUGCAGAGCACCCUGAGCCCUGACCACCUCCCUACAAUGUCCAUAUGUACCCCAAACCUUUCAGUCUUCACAGAGAGAGAUACAGCAUGCUUGAGCUUGGGAUAAUGCUCCAGAAAUCAUGGGAGAAGGAAGGUUAGGCUGUAUCCCGAGCUCAGGUGGGUGUGGACACAUUUCCCAGGAGUGCCAGGGGGAGCCUGUGCUGCCAUUUGGGCAUGUGGAGCAAUAUUGAGCAGCUGAUCAGCAAAGGGGGAGUGAGGAAAAGUGAACCGAGUUGCCUGAGGAAGGGGAGGUGAAAAGCUUAACAUAGCAUUAGGGCUGAGUCAGAGGGGAGGGGAGGAGGCUUACGUGGAGCUUGUCCUGCCAGUGUCUGGGAAAGAGGGGUGCAGCCUUCAGGCCUCUGAUCAGCAGUGUUGGGAAACAGGUCUGGUUUAUCUGGGCUGCCCCUGGGCGUCCCCAUUUCACAAAUGUCCUCUCCCACAUCCCAUCACUCUCAGCCUCAGCACCCCCCUGCCAUGUCAGGGGCUAAUGAGCUGCCUUGCUUCUGUUAGCUCACUGUCACAGGAAAAGUUACCAAAGCUUUGGAGUUUUUUUUCCUCCUUAGUUUUCUACAAGGUGACCAGUUAAUUUGGCUCUGGGGUGAGGUUGGAUGGAGCUCAGGAGCUGGUAGAGGCUGAGAAGUGACAGCACAUGCCUGUGACUUGGCUGGGUAGGACCCUUCCCUUUUUGGCACUGAGCUGAAUGGAGCAAGGUUGUUUUGUGGAGCAUCCUCACAGCCUCACCCACUGAUCUGACACCACCAACCUGAGGGAAGGCGAGAAACACAACUCCAUCAUUUAGAGAAGAGGGGAUCCAACUCAUGGGACUCCAUUAUGGGGCAGAGUUGGGAGCGGUCUGAAACCUCCCAGGACCAAAUCCUGGCUUCGCAAUGGCACUAAACAUACAUUUAUGCAUUCCAUGCAGCAUGACAUGACUUCCAGAGCCAUUUCCAUCAAUGUGCACAAGUUGUAUGUUCUGUGGCAUUUUGAAUCUUUACAGCUGGAGAUUAGUAAGUGCAGAAUGAAAGCUGUACUGUGAGUAAAUAGAUUAUGUGGAGCUUAGAGAAACUAAGCUGCAAUCUUAAAUUCAAAUAACUUUCCUAUUAGGAAGGAUCUAUUAAUACUUACGGUAUGGUAACUGUGCAGACUCCAAGUCCUCACCCAGUCAAAAGUAAGACUUAAGAGCCCCUACCUACCCAUAGAAAAAUCCCCUUAAAACACUGGGAAUUUUGCCUAUGUAAAUACUGCAGAACUUGAGCUGCAAAUGCCUCUCGUAUAAACUACAAAAUCAGAACUUGAUUGCAACAGCAAAACUUCAGUGAGAAAUUUAAGGCAGUGCACACUGCUGCAAGAAUACACUUGAAGAACCCAGAUUUCCUGAGGUUUUUGUACUGCUUUUCCCCCUUGUUACCAUUUAAUUUUCACUAUAGGUGAGGCCAUCUCCAGUACUAAUCUUUGUUUUUUGUGGCUCAGUCUCUCUGGGCAAGCAUCAUCUUCCUUUAUCUGCUGCAUCCUCUUGCUUGCCCAACCAUUAUCCCACAAGGCAGACAGUUUCUCUUUGAUGGUUGCCCCUCAAUGCUACAAGAUAUCUGAAACAGCCAACUCUUUUCCUUCUGUCUAAUCUGUGUGGUCAGAAAGUGAAAGAUUUCAUUCUCUUCAAACAGGUGACCACCCUCUCCUGCCUCUCUCAUUCAUCUGCUGAUGCUAGUAAAAAGGAUACCACUCUGGACUGCCUUUCUCUUUGUUUUGAAAGCUCUCAUAGAGGCUUCUCUUUAAAGACAUUUUCAGCAGUUGUGUCAAAGCUGGAUUUUUAAGUUUUGUAAGCCUUUCACAUUUGUUUGGAGGGACUGAAACUUGCAAGUUCUUGGUGUAUACUUAAUUUUCAUAUUUAUCUGUGCCAAGCCAACUCUUUUUGGUCCUCGUUAAAAGGAUUUAAAUACACUCAUCUACUGUAGUCCUUUAAGCUCCUGCUUCCUCCCUGGGGUUUUCUUCUUACCCCAUGUAGUAUGCUGCUGCCAUCAAGGUCUGAAUCACUGGGUUCUUUGGGAGUUUGCUCCUCUGACCGUAGGAGGCUGGGAAGUGCUCCCUGCCAUUCCCAGCAAUACCAGCACUGUACUGCUGUCACAACCCGCUCUCCGUGGGCCCAUAUCCUGGUCCCCAUUUUAGGGCCAGUGGCUGAGGGAGAUGUGAAAUGAUAUGCCAGGAUGCUGCAGAGCCAUCAGUGCCAUCCCACUCCCCUGAACACUGAGAUGUGCACAUUGAGUGACUAAUUCAAGGUUACCCAGGCCAAUAAUACCCAAACAUCCUUCAUCUCAGUCCUGGGUCAAACUGGGCAACUCAAACAUCUUCCCAGCCAGUGCAUUGCAGCAGGAGCUGUGUCCUGUGAGAGCCAUCCAUUGCUCUGCACCCUGGUGUAAGGUGGGGCACAGUGGAAAUGCAGGGUAGCCUUGUCCUUGCAGAUAACAUCCCUGCUGUCUGCCUGGGUAGGGAAUCACCAUUUGGGAACAGAAGUUGAAGGAGGGAACACAAACAAGUCUGUUUCACUGCUCCACUCACAUGCAGGGAAACUGGCCUUCAGCUUGCCUCAGAAACAGCUUUGACCCUGGAAAACAGAUACAUGAAGUAGGAACUAGGGACUGGGUGGGAGGAACAGCGAAGCCCACGUAGACACUGCAAAUGUGUGGGAUUUUCAUCUUCAGGUCAGCACGGAUGGACAUAAUGAUCCCUUGAGGCUCUCCACUUGAAACUGCUGGUUCCAGCUUGUCCCUCCCCUGCUCCCGGCAUUGCUGCUGACUGUUCACACACUGCUCCUUUUCCUUACACCUCUUAUCUGCCACGUGGAAAGUGCUCAGGGUAGCCCAGCUUCUGGGUCGCGCUGCAGCCUGGCAGUUCCUUUGGUCUAAUAAGCAGUUAUAGAUCCCAUCUCCCCUUUUACUACAGGUAAACCUGGGAGAGGUCCUAAAGUAGCUAAGAAACACUUAAUUCUGAAUCUUCCCAUUUUUUGUGCAAAUUAAGCCACAUCAAGCUAAACAUUCUAUUAGUUUAUCUUUUGUGUUUGCAAUGUCACUUUGCAAUCUCACAUGGUAUAAAUCAAACAGGACCUGAAUACACUCCUCGUGACUUUUGAUAUUAUGAACUUACGCAUGUAUGCUAUGUUUCAGGUGCCUUUGCCAAAACAUUAACAGUAAUAUUCGGAGGACUAAAUAGAGCAGAUGUUCUGUAAUCCCACACCAAAAGGCAACCUGGGAAUGUUGGAAAUUAUACAGGUACAAAAAGCUUUAUCCCUCGAGUCAUGUACUUUUCUUAUAUAAACAAAUUAUCGUAACAGCUCUGUUAGGUGUCACCAUCACCUUAUGAAAAAAAGACUGAGAUGAUUGAUUCGGCAAAGAACAUGGGGUCAUGGAGCUCUGGCCUCAUUGUAGUUCCACCCUCCCUCUCCAUCUUGUCUGCAGCCUAAGUGUAUAAUGUAAUAUUUCAGUGCAGGGAUCAUUAAACUGUAAAACUCUA
Molecule: long non-coding RNA, 5722 nt
Organism: Motacilla alba alba
Lineage: Eukaryota; Metazoa; Chordata; Aves; Passeriformes; Motacillidae
Exons: 2
Source: RefSeq, a predicted model, not a curated record